Molecule: long non-coding RNA, 605 nt
Organism: Phlebotomus argentipes
Lineage: Eukaryota; Metazoa; Arthropoda; Insecta; Diptera; Psychodidae
Exons: 3
Source: RefSeq, a predicted model, not a curated record
CAGUGCAACAAGCAGAGUUGCGAGUUUGAUAAAAAGCUAUGAAGCUAAAUUGGAUUAUUGCCUUGCUUUUGAUCGUUGGUGUAAUUAUUUUAAAUAUUGACGGCAAAUCUAUCACACGCAGUGCCAAGAAUUCAAAUCACUAUAUGAUGAAUGCGCCUUGUCCGUUCGGACAAAGAAGAUUUCGCCGGACAUGCCGCACAAUUAUUUAAUAAAUAUGUGAAUAUCGCUGGAAAAAAAGCUUCAUUAAAUUCCCAAAUAUACCAUUUUACUCUCUCCAAUUUUACGUCAUGGUUUGCCAGCUCUAGCCUAGAGCGGAACUCACACAUGCGAAGAGUGUGUGAAAAGCCCGAACGAUUGACACACAUUUGAGGGACAAUUAACUAGUGGGACACUUGAUGACUUCAUAAAGAGGUAGUGGAAAGGCCAAAAAACGUGUCUCUUUUUCGGGAAUCUUGCGCAACAGAUGAGACUAAAUAAACUCCGAAUAUAAACGACUAAAUGCAUAAAUAAAUUAUUGGAUGCUAUUGAGGUCAAUUUGCAGGCAAAACUGGUUGCGAAUGAGAGUGAGAGUGAAACAUUUUCUUGACCUUCGGGGCUUUUUGCAA